GAUGAAGAACGCAGUGAAAUGCGAUAAGUAAUGUGAAUUGCAGAAUUCAGUGAAUCAUCGAAUCUUUGAACGCACCUUGCGCCCUUUGGCUAUUCUGAAGGGCAUGCCUGUUUGAGUAUCAUGAACACCUCAACUCUCAUGGUUUGCCAUGAUGAGCUUGGACUUUGGGGGUCUUGCUGGCCUACGGUCGGCUCCUCUCAAAUGAAUCAGCUUGCCAGUGUUUGGUGGCAUCACGGGUGUGAUAACUAUCUACGCUUGUGGUUUCCCACCAGGUAACCUUCAGUGAUGGAGGUUCGCUGGGGCUCAUAAAUGUCCCUCCACAGUGAGGACAGCUUUUGAACGUUUGAUCUCAAAUCAGGUAGGACUACCCGCUGAACUUAAGCAUAUCAAUAAGCGGAGGA
This 401-nucleotide unclassified non-coding RNA is filed under the name soil metagenome. RNAcentral's name for it is "partial contains 5.8S ribosomal RNA, internal transcribed spacer 2, and large subunit ribosomal RNA". The stretch from base 1 to 121 matches the Rfam family "5.8S ribosomal RNA", at positions 35 to 154 of the family's 154-position model. The record is from RNAcentral.